UGGCUCAGGAUGAACGCUAGCGACAGGCUUAACACAUGCAAGUCGAGGGGCAGCGGGGGUGAUGGCUUGCCAUCGCCUGCCGGCGACCGGCGCACGGGUGAGUAACACGUAUGCAACCUGCCCGCCACAGGGGGAUAAGCGGAAGAAAUUCCGUCUAAUACCGCGUGACGCGGCGCCGGGGCAUCCCGGUGCCGCCAAAGGGAUUACCGGUGGCGGAUGGGCAUGCGGCGCAUUAGCUAGUCGGCGGGGUAACGGCCCACCGAGGCGACGAUGCGUAGGGGUUCUGAGAGGAAGGUCCCCCACACUGGUACUGAGACACGGACCAGACUCCUACGGGAGGCAGCAGUGAGGAAUAUUGGUCAAUGGGCGCGAGCCUGAACCAGCCAAGUCGCGUGAGGGAUGACGGUCCUACGGAUUGUAAACCUCUUUUGCCGGGGAGCAAGCGUGCGUUCGUGAACGCGCGUCGAGAGUACCCGGAGAAAAAGCAUCGGCUAACUCCGUGCCAGCAGCCGCGGUAAUACGGAGGAAGCGAGCGUUAUCCGGAGUUAUUGGGUUUAAAGGGUGCGUAGGCGGGAUGCCAAGUCAGCGGUAAAAAUGCGGUGCUCAACGCCGUCGAGCCGUUGAAACUGGCGUUCUUGAGUGGGCGAGAAGUAUGCGGAAUGCGUGGUGUAGCGGUGAAAUGCAUAGAUAUCACGCAGAACUCCGAUUGCGAAGGCAGCAUACCGGCGCCCUACUGACGCUGAGGCACGAAAGCGUGGGUAUCGAACAGGAUUAGAUACCCUGGUAGUCCACGCAGUAAACGAUGAAUGCUAACUGUCCGGCUCGAAUGAGCGCUGGGCAGUACAGCGAAAGCGUAAGCAUUCCACCUGGGGAGUACGCCGGCAACGGUGAAACUCAAAGGAAUUGACGGGGGCCCGCACAAGCGGAGGAACAUGUGGUUUAAUUCGAUGAUACGCGAGGAACCUUACCCGGGCUCAAACGCAGGAUGACGGGUCCCGAAAGGGGUCUUUCUUCGGACAUUCUGCGAGGUGCUGCAUGGUUGUCGUCAGCUCGUGCCGUGAGGUGUCGGCUUAAGUGCCAUAACGAGCGCAACCCCUGUCCACAGUUGCCAGCAGGUAAAGCUGGGGACUCUGUGGAGACUGCCGGCGCAAGCUGCGAGGAAGGCGGGGAUGACGUCAAAUCAGCACGGCCCUUACGUCCGGGGCGACACACGUGUUACAAUGGCAGGUACAGCGGGAUGCCACGGGGCGACCCGGCGCUGAACCCGAAAACCUGUCUCAGUUCGGAUUGGAGUCCGCAACCCGACUCCAUGAAGCUGGAUUCGCUAGUAAUCGCGCAUCAGCCACGGCGCGGUGAAUACGUUCCCGGGCCUUGUACACACCGCCCGUCAAGCCAUGGAAGCCGGGGGUACCUGAAGUGCGUGACCGCGAGGAGCGCCCUAGGGUAAAACCGGUGACUGGGGCUAAGUCGUAACAAGGU
Molecule: ribosomal RNA, 1479 nt
Filed under: uncultured bacterium
Lineage: Bacteria
Description: 16S ribosomal RNA
Rfam family: Bacterial small subunit ribosomal RNA
Source: RNAcentral